This 21-nucleotide microRNA is filed under the name Pristionchus pacificus. RNAcentral describes it as "ppc-miR-2239". Lineage: Eukaryota; Metazoa; Nematoda; Chromadorea; Rhabditida; Neodiplogasteridae. The record is from miRBase by way of RNAcentral.
UGGCAGUGUAGGAAAUAUCUU